Molecule: ribosomal RNA, 425 nt
Filed under: uncultured bacterium
Lineage: Bacteria
Description: partial 16S ribosomal RNA
Rfam family: Bacterial small subunit ribosomal RNA
Source: RNAcentral
GUGGGGAAUCUUGCGCAAUGGGCGAAAGCCUGACGCAGCCAUGCCGCGUGAAUGAUGAAGGUCUUAGGAUUGUAAAAUUCUUUCACCGGGGACGAUAAUGACGGUACCCGGAUAAGAAGCUCCGGCUAACUUCGUGCCAGCAGCCGCGGUAAUACGAAGGGGGCUAGCGUUGCUCGGAAUUACUGGGCGUAAAGGGCGCGUAGGCGGACAGCUUAGUCAGAGGUGAAAGCCCAGGGCUCAACCUUGGAAUUGCCUUUGAUACUGGCUGUCUUGAGUUUGGGAGAGGUGAGUGGAACUCCGAGUGUAGAGGUGAAAUUCGUAGAUAUUCGGAAGAACACCAGUGGCGAAGGCGACUCACUGGCCCAAUACUGACGCUGAGGCGCGAAAGCGUGGGGAGCAAACAGGAUUAGAUACCCCGGUAGUCC